This 645-nucleotide long non-coding RNA is filed under the name Zostera marina. RNAcentral describes it as "long non-coding RNA (ZMAR_LNC005976)". Lineage: Eukaryota; Viridiplantae; Streptophyta; Magnoliopsida; Alismatales; Zosteraceae. The record is from RNAcentral.
UCGGAUUUUUGAUUUUUUUUUUCUAGUACAAGUUCUUAUAACUUUUAAGUUACAGAUACAAAUAAAUUAAAUUUUACUAUUUUUACGGUAUCCUUGUUGCCAGUUCUCCCGUGUUCGGCUCUUGUAGGCUUAAUUUGUAUCCAAGUUUGUAAUGGUCUUUCUUCCCUCUGCGUUUCAUUUGCCUUGUAGCUUGUGAUUUUAAAAGUCUUUGUAACGUCUUCUAUAACUCUCCUCUCAAUCUCUUGUGCCCAGGAGAAUCUGUUUUCGUGGACCCUCUUGUUUCUCUCCGUCCAGAUACCCCAGACUGUUGCUGCUAUGUAUGACCAUGUUAUCCCCAAGAAACCUGAUUUUCUGGUCCUUCUGCUUGCCUCAUCCGUUACCUGUUCUAAUGAUAAACCUGUACGUGAUAUUAUACCUGAUUUUUUCCCAAUUAAGUAACUUCAGAGGUCUUUUGCAAAUUUACAAUGAAAAAAGACGUGUUCUUGUGAUUUCCAUGGCCCAUUACAUAAUAUACACUCAGUGUUAACCCCAUUCAUUCUACCUGCCCAGUCUGCUCUCAUCGAUAUUUUGCCCCACCUAGCUCUCCAAAAGGUUAUAACGAAUUUUCUUACACUAGUGGUUCACACUUCUUCCCAUAGAUUAUCA